UAUUUAUUUGUGAUUGUAUUUUAGGUUUUGAUAUUAUUUUGUUUGUGCUUGGAGCAUUCAACCCCAAAGGAUGUUCUGUAUUCUUCAAAUUACAUAAAUGUUAAUGGAACCAUUAAGCUCUUAUAUGGACAUGUCGUGAACAAUAUGAAGGAUGUAGAUAUGGUUCGCAUCCUAAUGAACGAGCUAAUAUUCGGUAAAAACAAAUUCAUUUAUUUAGCUCGUUAGGACUUGCUCCAUUAUUGCGGCAUGGUAGAAAUAGGCUAUAUGUGCAUCCUAGCAUACAUUACAUAUCUUUGGGAUGAAUGUGAUUGUGGAAGCAAGUUUUUUGUUAUGACCAAGCAAAAAUAACAUCACAUAUCAAGGAUCGUGAUCUCCGAUCCAGAAAUUUUGCCAACCAGUUAGAAGCGGCUACCUUGGAACAAAUAGUUCUAAUUCCGUAUAAUACUGGGUAAAUAAAUAAGAUUAACACAUUAUUAUGUUUUUCAUUGAGGUUAAAUGUAUACUCACAUUGAAGAUGUUUAUUGUAGUUUUCAUUGGAUGUUGCAUGUCAUCGAUCUUCGAGAGAACUGUGUUUAUGUUUUGGACUCUCUUCAAAGUAAAGUUAACGAAGACAUCCAUGGAGUCA
Cucumis sativus (cucumber) is the source of this 625-nucleotide long non-coding RNA. RefSeq lists it as uncharacterized. Lineage: Eukaryota; Viridiplantae; Streptophyta; Magnoliopsida; Cucurbitales; Cucurbitaceae. The record is from RefSeq and is a predicted model, not a curated record. The transcript has 2 exons.